CAGUCGCCACGGUAAUACGGAGGGAGCUAGCGUUGUUCGGAAUUACUGGGCGUAAAGCGCACGUAGGCGGCUUUGUAAGUCAGAGGUGAAAGCCUGGAGCUCAACUCCAGAACUGCCUUUGAGACUGCAUCGCUUGAAUCCAGGAGAGGUGAGUGGAAUUCCGAGUGUAGAGGUGAAAUUCGUAGAUAUUCGGAAGAACACCAGUGGCGAAGGCGGCUCACUGGACUGGUAUUGACGCUGAGGUGCGAAAGCGUGGGGAGCAAACAGGAUUAGAUACCCGCGUAGUCCCUGUCUCUUAUAA
Molecule: ribosomal RNA, 301 nt
Filed under: uncultured bacterium
Lineage: Bacteria
Description: partial 16S ribosomal RNA
Rfam family: Bacterial small subunit ribosomal RNA
Source: RNAcentral